Molecule: ribosomal RNA, 1356 nt
Filed under: uncultured bacterium
Lineage: Bacteria
Description: bacterial SSU rRNA
Rfam family: Bacterial small subunit ribosomal RNA
Source: RNAcentral
GAUUCCUAGUGAUUAGAGUUUGAUCAUGGCUCAGAACGUACGCUGGCGGCACGCCUAAUACAUGCAAGUCGAACGAAGUAGCAAUACUUAGUGGCAGACGGGUGAGUAACAUGUAGGUAUCUGCCCUUUGGCCUGGAAUAACACGAGGAAACUUGUGCUAAUACCGGAUAAGUCUUUACGGAGAAAGCUUUAUGCACCAUUGGAUGAGCCUGCACUUGAUUAGUUUGUUGGUGGGGUAAUGGCCUACCAAGACUGUGAUCAAUAGCUGAUUUGAGAGGAUGAUCAGCCACAUUGGGACUGAGACACGGCCCAAACUCCUACGGGAGGCAGCAGUAGGGAAUCUUGCACAAUGGAGGAAACUCUGAUGCAGCGAUGCCGCGUGAGUGAAGAAGGCCUUUGGGUUGUAAAGCUCUUUCGUCGGGGAAGAAAAUGACUGUACCCGAAUAAGAAGGUCCGGCUAACUUCGUGCCAGCAGCCGCGGUAAUACGAAGGGACCUAGCGUAGUUCGGAAUUACUGGGCUUAAAGAGUUCGUAGGCGGUUGAAAAAGUUGGUGGUGAAAUCCCAGAGCUUAACUCUGGAACUGCCAUCAAAACUUUUCAGCUAGAGUAUGAUAGAGGAAAGCAGAAUUUCUAGUGUAGAGGUGAAAUUCGUAGAUAUUAGAAAGAAUACCAAUUGCGAAGGCAGCUUUCUGGAUCAUUACUGACGCUGAGGAGCGAAAGCAUGGGUAGCGAAGAGGAUUAGAUACCCUCGUAGUCCAUGCCGUAAACGAUGUGUGUUAGACGUUGGAAAUUUAUUUUCAGUGUCGCAGCGAAAGCGAUAAACACACCGCCUGGGGAGUACGACCGCAAGGUUAAAACUCAAAUGAAUUGACGGGGACCCGCACAAGUAGUGGAGCAUGUGGUUUAAUUCGAAGAUACGCGCAGAACCUUACCAACACUUGACAUGUUCGUCGCGACUCUAAGAGAUUAGAGUUUUCGGUUCGGCCGGACGAAACACAGGUGCUGCAUGGCUGUCGUCAGCUCGUGUCGUGAGAUGUUGGGUUAAGUCCCGCAACGAGCGCAACCCUCACUUUUAGUUGCCAUCAUUAAGUCGGGCACUCUGAAAGAACUGCCAGUGAUAAGCUGGAGGAAGGUGGGGAUGACGUCAAGUCCUCAUGGCCCUUACGUGUUGGGCUACACACGUGCUACAAUGGUAUCUACAACAGGAAGCAAGACGGCGACGUCAAGCAAAUCCUUAAAAGAUACCUCAGUUCGGAUUGCACUCUGCAACUCGAGUGCAUGAAGCUGGAAUUACUAGUAAUCGUGGAUCAGCGUGCCACGGUGAAUGCGUUCCCGGGUCUUGUACACACCGCCCGU